UAAAAUAUGACACUCACAUUGCUAUAUAAUAUCUCUUAUCGAUCACGUUAUUUUUAUUGUACUUUUCUCUUAAAAAGAGAGAUGUAAUUGGUUGAACAAAGAUAAAUUAGGGUUAUGAUAGGAAAUAACUGUAAUAAUUCUCAUAUCCUUAAAUAUCGAGUGAAUUAUGCCAUGUGUUUUUGUUGUAAAUGAGAGUGAAAAAUAUUGAUGGCAAUUUUACAAACACUUGGUGGGCAAUUUCACAACCCACUCUCUACAAGCAUCUAAUUGAGAAUCAAUCACAAGAGCAAUAACAAAAUAAACCAAAUCACAAGAACACAAGGAUUUACGUGGUUCGGCUAUGCCUACAUCUACGGGAGAACAAUGUAAAAGAAGCUUCCACUAUAAAUUUGGAGAUUACAAGAGAGAUUCAAAUGGGAGAAGUAUCACCUUAACUCCAAGGUAUAAAAGAGAACUCCAACAAUCUCUAGCUCUAUCCAAAUGGUAUAAACCACACCUCACAAGGAAGAUCUCACCUCCUUCUUGAUAGAACCAAGAUCAAAACCAAGCCUAGGAUUUUCUCUUUUUUCUCCAACUUCUUUUCUCACUCUCUACUUCUCUCUCUACUUUUCUCUCAUAUUCCAAUAUUCCACUUUAACUCUUUACGAGAAGAGGCUAACAAUAUGAGCCUUUGGAUCAAAAGAAACAUGAUUCAAAGGCUUACAAAUAGGGGACCCACAUACAUAAUAAAAAUAUAGAAAGAAGAGAUUUGGACUUCACCAAAUUACAUAGCCCAAAUAGUAAGGCCCAAAUAGCAAAUAGAUCCAAUGUAAUUAGCUCAAUAAUUUUCAUAAAAGAGAAAAUAAGAGGAAGGUAAAAAUAUAUAGAACUUGUCUAAACUAUAGAUCAUUUUGAAUCAACUAUCUAAUUUUUCAAAGUUUGGAUUUUAUUUCAACGAUGUUUUAACUUUAAAAUUUAAACUAAUUUCUUACUUUAAUAUAUUAUGGCUGCGAGAAUUGCAUGAAUCAUACCAACUAAAUCAGUAAAAAUAAACAAUACAUUUAAAUUUUUGAAGUUAAAGUAUCAAUGGCUGACUCAAAUCAAAAAAAUUGAAAGAUUGGAUAGUAAAAUUAAUAUUCUAAAAAGUUGGGUAGUCGAUUCAAAAUAGUCUAUUGUUCAGACAAGUUUAGUUUUUACCUAAAAGAAACAGAAAACAUGAAUUUGUAUUAUAGAAGUACGAUAUAGGGAU
RNAcentral lists this long non-coding RNA (1228 nucleotides) under Ananas comosus (pineapple). Its description in RNAcentral is "long non-coding RNA (ACOM_LNC013057)". Lineage: Eukaryota; Viridiplantae; Streptophyta; Magnoliopsida; Poales; Bromeliaceae. The record is from RNAcentral.